Long non-coding RNA from Oreochromis aureus, 343 nucleotides. RefSeq lists it as uncharacterized. The transcript is spliced from 3 exons. The record is from RefSeq and is a predicted model, not a curated record. NCBI's taxonomy places the organism in Eukaryota, Metazoa, Chordata, Actinopteri, Cichliformes, Cichlidae.
CUUUCCCCGAAACGUCUUUGCAGUGAGGGCCUGUAUGUACUGAGGGACCGAAUGAAGACACACGUCUAACGCAAAAGUUUUAUUGAGAAGUUUAUUGACAAAUGCUGAAGAUUAAACAAAAGACUGUAACCUGUCCAGCUUGUACCCCACCUUUCACCACCGAGGCAACCGCCACAUAUGAUCAUGCCCACUCAAGACAAUGUGUGAGCUUCGACCAGAGGCGCCGUCUGAACCCUCGCAGGAGCAGCUCUAUGGUUAAAAUAGCAUCCAGUCUUCCUUUUAUGGAACCUGCAUCACCUUCCACACAGCAGGCGAGGAGGGCAGGAAGAAAAAUGCAGGAAAC